UCUUAAAAAUUGUUCCUUGUUAAUUAGAGGGUGUAUUUGAUCCAAGACCUUGUUUUUAGGGAGAACCUCCUUGGUGUUACUACAUUUCCAAUGAUAGCAACGAUUGAUAUGAGGU
Glycine soja is the source of this 115-nucleotide non-coding RNA. The record is from Rfam. Lineage: Eukaryota; Viridiplantae; Streptophyta; Magnoliopsida; Fabales; Fabaceae.